This is a non-coding RNA of Mycena epipterygia, 90 nucleotides long. NCBI's taxonomy places the organism in Eukaryota, Fungi, Basidiomycota, Agaricomycetes, Agaricales, Mycenaceae. The record is from the annotation of a GenBank genome assembly.
GCACUGUUGGUGUAGGGGUAAUACGCAACCUGGCUUAAAUGGGAGGGAGCUGUCGAGGUUGAAUCCUGGGUUCGAAUCCCAGACGGUGCG